GACGAAGGAUGCAAGCGUUAUCCGGAUUCAUUGGGUUUAAAGGGAGCGUAGGCGGUUUUGUAAGUCAGUGGCGAAAUCUCUGGGCUCAACCCAGAAACUGCCAUUGAUACUGCAGAUCUAGAGUACAGUUGCCGUUGGCGGAAUAUGACAUGUAGUGGUGAAAUACUUAGAUAUGACAUAGAACACCGAUUGCGAAGGCAGCUAACGAAACUGUAACUGACGCUGAGGCUCGAAAGUGCGGGGAUCAAACAGG
This 253-nucleotide ribosomal RNA is filed under the name uncultured bacterium. RNAcentral's name for it is "partial 16S ribosomal RNA". It matches the Rfam family "Bacterial small subunit ribosomal RNA", at positions 524 to 776 of the family's 1533-position model. The record is from RNAcentral.